GCUUCAGAUGAGAGUGCGACGGGAGAAGGUGACCUCCGAGAUCUCGAAGGAAACAGAUGACGACGAAGACAGUGAUGGCCACGGAGGAGCUCAGAACGAUGGAGAGGCAACGGCUGCUAGGAUCCUUGGUACUUCUCAACCCAAAUGGUAUAGGCUGUGCGACAAGCUCUGCGGCAAGCUGUGCGGCAACCACUGAUCCAUUACUUACAAUCGUCUGGUCGUCAAGCAUCUACAACCAUCACAAAUUGUAGAGGGAUCGUUGUUCGUCAAAAUUGAAGACACAAUCCAUAAAUUUUUUCUAACGUCAAUGAUAAAUUUGAUCACUGUAAUUAAUGGUGUGGUGAGUUAAAUAAUAUUGUGUUAAUUACUUAAUCCAUGGCAGGACAGGUUCGUACCAUUAUGUCGACCGAAAUACGACUCAGUCAAAUUAUUCAAAUGUCCCUCCAGGGCAUCCACGAAUUUUCGUUGGAGUUGAAACGCCAAGCUAAAUUAACGAGAGCGCUCGAAAAAUUUAUUACUUUGAGUGACGCAAUCGUGUCUAUGGUAACCACAGACAUUUGUCUCGUGUCAGUGAGCACUAAUCUUUUGAGAGGAGCGUCUGGGUAAAAAAAUCGAUAAAUUUGGCUUUUCCGUUUUCUUGGCUCAUUUCGUAGGUGCUGAAAAGGCGCAUCUAACGCAGUAAACCGUAUGUAUGCGUACUUCAGUUUUUGCUGAAAGAAAUUUCAAAAAUAUAUAAAUGAACACUUUUUAUUAAUAUGUACAAAGAUUUUUUCAAAUUUAAUCGGUAUUUAUAGAACAUUAUUUUCGUUAAUUGCAAAGUGUUCGCACUCGUUUGAAGCUACAGACAAGACGCGUUUAAUAAAGCUAAUAUCAUGGAUAUACAUGCAAUAAUUUUUGCGCAAGGCUGUUUUGAACUUCAAUAAAAGACCAU
Long non-coding RNA from Hyalella azteca, 931 nucleotides. RefSeq lists it as uncharacterized. NCBI's taxonomy places the organism in Eukaryota, Metazoa, Arthropoda, Malacostraca, Amphipoda, Hyalellidae. The record is from RefSeq and is a predicted model, not a curated record. The transcript is spliced from 3 exons.